CCAAGAAUAACGUAGAAAAUGCC
RNAcentral lists this non-coding RNA (23 nucleotides) under Arabidopsis thaliana (thale cress). Lineage: Eukaryota; Viridiplantae; Streptophyta; Magnoliopsida; Brassicales; Brassicaceae. The record is from RNAcentral.